UACGUAGGUGGCAAGCGUUGUCCGGAUUUACUGGGUGUAAAGGGCGUGUAGGCGGAGCUGCAAGUCAGAUGUGAAAUCCCGGGGCUCAACCCCGGAACUGCAUUUGAAACUGUAGCCCUUGAGUAUCGGAGAGGCAGGCGGAAUUCCUAGUGUAGCGGUGAAAUGCGUAGAUAUUAGGAGGAACACCAGUGGCGAAGGCGGCCUGCUGGACGACAACUGACGCUGAGGCGCGAAAGCGUGGGGAGCAAACA
Molecule: ribosomal RNA, 251 nt
Filed under: uncultured bacterium
Lineage: Bacteria
Description: partial 16S ribosomal RNA
Rfam family: Bacterial small subunit ribosomal RNA
Source: RNAcentral